RNA transcript from Cucumis melo (muskmelon), 1309 nucleotides. It is a transcript of the gene named RGS1-HXK1-interacting protein 1, with no coding region annotated. NCBI's taxonomy places the organism in Eukaryota, Viridiplantae, Streptophyta, Magnoliopsida, Cucurbitales, Cucurbitaceae. The transcript has 10 exons. The record is from RefSeq and is a predicted model, not a curated record.
AAAAAGAAAAAGAGAAAAGGGCUCAAAGGCGAGCGAGUGCAUCGACCAAAACCCGGGGGCGGGGCUUAGUGGAAACAAGUUUUUGAGAUUUUUGCAAUGGCGAUGGAUGCUGGAUCAUCGUCCUCCCAAGAAAACCAAUCAUCUCCUUCCUAUCACCAUGAAUCUUCUUCAUCAAAACCUCAAUCAUUGGAAGACUUAGCUAAGCCUUGGGCUGAAUACGCUGCUCAACAGGCGCUGCUAUACCAACGGGCUAUCGACCACUCUUUGGAGUCUGCCAUCGAAGCCUCCAAAUCUCGCCUUUCUCAGAUUCGUUCCACCUCCUAUCCUCAUUUCCAGAAGGCAAUUGAUUCCUUUUGGGAGGCAAAGUCCGAACUUGCAGCUUAUGAGAAUUUAGUAUUUGGAAAAAUUAGAGAUGGUAUUCUUGUUGCUGCAUCACAUCCACUGAUCAGUUGUGGAGUUGCAACUGGCAUGGGUUUCUUAGUCUUUAAAAAGCCCAGAAGUUUCUUAUACUACAAAACUGUUCGACUUUUCAUGAAUGAAGAGUCCUUACUUUCCAAAGCUGAUGCUAAAGUAAAAGAGUUGCGGCAGUCAAUUGAUCGGAUAAAGGUUGAAAGUGAGAGGCUGGAGAAAAGAACACUUCAAGCUGAAGAGGAAUUGAUACGAGGAAGAACAAAACUCAGGCAAGCAGGAAAACAAAUUGAAGGUGUGAUUCAGUCGGCUCAUAAAAUUGAAAGAAAGGCAAGAGGUUUAAAAGAUAUUCUUGCAGAUCUUCCCACUAGGGAAGCUUCGCGAUUUAGGACUCAGGUAUCUAACCUUGCUUCUGAGGCAAAGAAGGAAAGAAUUGGGUUGAGCAAGGAGGUCUCAAAAAUAAGCAACUAUGGCAUCUCCGUCUGAUAAAUUCAAAUCAAACAUUCGGCUCGGCCUCAACAAUAUUACUCCAUCCCAAAAUUCACUUGGAAGCUGACGCAUAAGGAUAGAGUGAGUUUCUCAUGGACCUACGUUGGAGAGGAAGUAACUUCAUUGAGAAAGUUGAACCCGAGAGAGUUUAAGACCAAUUUUACUGUCUAGGAGUUCGUUUCUUCGAGAUAUUGAGAAGUACUUGGACUCCCUAUGAUAAUUUUUGAAGUCGGGAAUGAUGCUAGUGCUUCAAGUAAGUGAUUCGAGUAAAUCAUAAAUCAAUUUGAGCAUAGCGCUUGUGUUAAUUGACUGAUUGGUUACGUAAGAAACUAUACCAUUUGUACAAAUUCAAGUUUGAUUGUUUCAACCAAUAUACAUUUCUCUAAAAAUAUCACGUUAACAAUAUUUAUUA